AUGCGGAGGGAGAAGAAAUUCAUUAAAAAUAAAUCGUGUGCUACAGCCUCCAGAAACACUCAAGUCUUGCAGAAGGCUGGCAGCAAAGUUAGAAUGAGAACAGCCCACCAUGGCCCAGAGGCAGCACCAGGGACCCCGAACCCCUCCUGGGCACAGGAAGGAGCAGGGACAGUGUGUCACCAGCGGUGCUUUCAGUGCCAUUUAACGCGACUUGUGCUUCCCAGGCCACCAAAGGCCCACCGGCGGGAUCAGGACAAGCCAGCCACCCCGGUCACCCCUGCUCUGCCCGGCCCCAGCGCUCCGGCCUGCCCGGUCCCGCUCUGUCCCCUCAGUCCCCCGGUCCCGUUCUGUCCCGCUCUGUCCCCUCAGCCCCGCUCUGUCCCCUCGGUCCCGCUCUGUCCCCCCGGUCCCGCUCUGUCCCCCCGGUCCCGUUCUGUCCCCUCGGUCCCGUUCUGUCCCCUCAGUCCCGUUCUGUCCCGCUCUGUCCCCUCAGCCCCGCUCUGUCCCCUCGGUCCCGCUCUGUCCCCUCAGUCCCGCUCUGUCCCCCCGGUCCCGUUCUGUCCCCCCGGUCCCGUUCUGUCCCCUCAGCCCCGCUCUGUCCCCUCAGUCCCGCUCUGUCCCGUUCUGUCCCCUCGGUCCCGUUCUGUCCCCUCAGUCCCGCUCUGUCCCCCCGGUCCCGUUCUGUCCCCUCAGUCCCGUUCUGUCCCAUCGGUCCCGCUCUGUCCCCUCAGUCCCGUUCUGUCCCCUCGGUCCCGUUCUGUCCCCUCAGCCCCGCUCUGUCCCCUCAGUCCCGCUCUGUCCCGUUCUGUCCCCUCAGCCCCGUUCUGUCCCCUCAGCCCCGCUCUGUCCCGUUCUGUCCCCCCGGUCCCGCUCUGUCCCGCUCUGUCCCCUCAGCCCCGCUCUGUCCCGUUCUGUCCCCCCGGUCCCGCUCUGUCCCGCUCUGUCCCCUCAGCCCCGCUCUGUCCCGUUCUGUCCCCUCAGCCCCGCUCCGUCCCGCGGCCCCGGGCCCGGCUCGGCCGGGACUUGUUCCCGUCCCGACUUCUCGCGAGAGAACGCGCGGUGGCGUCACGCGCCGCGGAGGCCGCCCUCGCGCGCGCGCUCUCGCGCUAUCUCUCACGCCGCCGCCGUAUCCUUCCGCGCGCUCCCCCUCCCCCUUCUGGAGAGUUCUGCACGGCGGCCGGCACGACAAAUAGUCCCCGCGGCUCCCCGCCCUCUCCUCCCUCUCCCGCUCCUCCUCCUCCUCCCGCCGCUCCGGUCCUGGCCUCUCCCUUCCCUCCCCGCCACGGCGGCGUCUCCGCCCCGGGAACCGGAGCGGUGCCCGGGGGCAGCGGCGGCGGCGGGGCGGAGUGA
RNAcentral lists this long non-coding RNA (1350 nucleotides) under Taeniopygia guttata (zebra finch). RNAcentral's name for it is "lncRNA (ENSTGUG00000023244.1)". The record is from RNAcentral. Lineage: Eukaryota; Metazoa; Chordata; Aves; Passeriformes; Estrildidae.